RNAcentral lists this transfer RNA (67 nucleotides) under Vollenhovia emeryi. RNAcentral's name for it is "tRNA-Val". Lineage: Eukaryota; Metazoa; Arthropoda; Insecta; Hymenoptera; Formicidae. The record is from RNAcentral.
AGAUUUUUAGUUUAUAAAAAAUAAUUCAUUUACAGUGAGUAGAAUAAUGUUAAUAAUUAAAAAUUUA